Trifolium pratense (red clover) is the source of this 521-nucleotide long non-coding RNA. RefSeq lists it as uncharacterized. The transcript has 2 exons. NCBI's taxonomy places the organism in Eukaryota, Viridiplantae, Streptophyta, Magnoliopsida, Fabales, Fabaceae. The record is from RefSeq and is a predicted model, not a curated record.
UUGUCAAAAAAAAAAAAAAGAAUGGGUAUUUUUCACCCUAUAAAGUGAUCAUCCAAAUUUUAUUUCUACAUACAAACGAGAAUAAAAAUAUGGCAGAAAUUCUCAAGUUUAUUUAUGUUAUGAUUAUUUUCCUUUUCAUGUGUAUGAUUGUAACUAAUGGAAUUUAUUUAUGCGAACAUGAUGAAGAAUGUCCUGAAAAUGAGUGUCUCUAUCAUGAACAUUCACAUUGCAUAUGGGGUGUUUGCCGAUGUGUGUAAUGGUAGUUGUUAAGUUCAAAUAUAUAUAAUUAUAUGGUACUUUUAAGAAUAUAUAAAUGCCUUUGCAAUAAUAAUGUUGGUACUUUUUUUUUCAAGUAGCUUAGUGAAUAAAAAUUUCACCCUUAAAAUGGAUAAGUGGAAUGAUUCGGAUUCGAACCCUAACUCAUGCAUAUAUAAUGCAAUGUUCUUGUCAUUAGAGCUAUAAUGUUGGUACUUUUAAUUAUGUGGUACUUUUAUAUUUCUUUCAAUGCAUCAAUUUUUGUA